Molecule: ribosomal RNA, 432 nt
Filed under: uncultured bacterium
Lineage: Bacteria
Description: partial 16S ribosomal RNA
Rfam family: Bacterial small subunit ribosomal RNA
Source: RNAcentral
ACGCACGCUGGCGGCAUGCCUCACCCCUGCAAGUCGCACGAGACCUUCGGGUCUAGUGGCGCACGGGUGCGUAACGCGUGGGAACCUGCCCUUAGGUUCGGAAUAACUCCCCGAAAGGGGUGCUAAUACCGGAUAAUGUCUUCGGACCAAAGAUUUAUCGCCUUUGGAUGGGCCCGCGUUGGAUUAGCUAGUUGGUAGGGUAAAAGCCUACCAAGGCGACGAUGCAUAGCUGGUCUGAGAGGAUGAUCAGCCACACUGGGACUGAGACACGGCCCAGACUCCUACGGGAGGCAGCAGUGGGGAAUAUUGGACAAGGGGCGAAAGCCUGAUCCAGCAAUGCCGCGUGAGUGAUGAAGGCCUUAGGGUUGUAAAGCUCUUUUACCCGGGAUGAGAAUGACAGUACCGGGAGAAUAAGCACCGGCUAACUCCGUG